AAUUGAAUAGUCGCUGGUAAAUAUCCGAAAGGAAUUACGAGAGGAAAGUCCGGGCUCCAUAGAGCAAAGAUGCUAGAUAACGUCUAGUGAGGGAAACCUUAAGGAAAGUGCAACAGAAAAUAACCGCCUCUUUAGAAUAAGACGAGGUAAGGGUGAAAAGGCGAGGUAAGAGCUCACCGCUAUCAUGGUGACAUGAUAGGUCAGUGUAAACCCCAUCUGGAGCAACACCUAAUAAAGAAGAUUAAGCCUGCUCGGCACCUUCUUGAAUUGUGUGGCUUGAAAUAUAUAGUGAUAUAUAUUCUAGAUAAAUGACUAUUUUAAAUGACAGAACCCGGCUUACAGAUUUGCUUUU
RNAcentral lists this RNase P RNA (352 nucleotides) under chicken gut metagenome. RNAcentral's name for it is "Bacterial RNase P class A". It matches the Rfam family "Bacterial RNase P class A". From Rfam's summary of the family: Ribonuclease P (RNase P) is a ubiquitous endoribonuclease, found in archaea, bacteria and eukarya as well as chloroplasts and mitochondria. The record is from RNAcentral.